GAAAAUAAAUAUCAGCACACACACAAACACGAACGAGCGGAGACGCACACACGUGCAUCUUGUUAAGCAAAGACAUCCAAAACAUCAGAACUUUGGUGCUGUCUCUUUGGCCGAGGAGUGCUGUUUCACUGGUUAAAGGUAGCCUGUGGAUAUGUUCUGAGUGGAGCAGCUCAAAGGUCUGAGAGGCAAACGCUGGGCUGCUAUUAGCGUGCCCUUUGCUAGCUGGCGGGGAGGCCCCUGAACAUGUUCCAGGCUGACCUACAUGCUGAGAGCCGCACCCCGACACAAAGGAGGGCAUCGCGUCCCCCAGCCCGCUCCUCCAAGCCCGUCUGAGGGAGUAGGAGUGAAAGCCUUCACACGGUGCCCUGCAGCGCUGAUAGCGGUGGUUACUCAUCUCUGGAGGACAUUGUUUGCUAUGUACUUCACCGUGAACUCCUGGAUUUUAUGGACAUGCGGGCAGGUCGAAGCAGACCUUUGAACGGCCACGACUGUGGGAACCGCAGACAUAACAGGCUGGGAGCUGCUAGUGCUACGCUAUCUUAUCUCCGUGUCAGAAGUCU
This 560-nucleotide long non-coding RNA is filed under the name Gadus morhua (Atlantic cod). RNAcentral describes it as "lncRNA (ENSGMOG00000028539.1)". The record is from RNAcentral. Lineage: Eukaryota; Metazoa; Chordata; Actinopteri; Gadiformes; Gadidae.